This 252-nucleotide ribosomal RNA is filed under the name uncultured bacterium. RNAcentral's name for it is "partial 16S ribosomal RNA". It matches the Rfam family "Bacterial small subunit ribosomal RNA", at positions 524 to 776 of the family's 1533-position model. The record is from RNAcentral.
UACGAAGGGGGCUAGCGUUGUUCGGAAUUACUGGGCGUAAAGCGCGCGCAGGCGGUCUUCCAAGUCAGUGGUGAAAGCCUGGAGCUCAACUCCAGAACUGCCAUUGAAACUGUUAGACUUGAGUACGAGAGAGGUGAGUGGAAUUCCCAGUGUAGAGGUGAAAUUCGUAGAUAUUGGGAAGAACACCGGUGGCGAAGGCGGCUCACUGGCUCGUAACUGACGCUCAGGCGCGACAGCGUGGGGUCAAACAGG